CCUACGGGAGGCAGCAGUAGGGAAUUUUCGUCAAUGGGCGCAAGCCUGAACGAGCGAUGCCGCGUGAGUGAAGAAGGCCUUCGGGUCGUAAAGCUCUGUUGCGGGGGAAAAAAGGCAGCAUCAGGAAAUGGGUGCUGACUGAUGGUGCCCCGCCAGAAAGUCACGGCUAACUACGUGCCAGCAGCCGCGGUAAUACGUAGGUGGCGAGCGUUAUCCGGAAUGAUUGGGCGUAAAGGGUGCGCAGGCGGUCCGGCAAGUCUGGAGUGAAACGCAUGAGCUCAACUCAUGCAUGGCUUUGGAAACUGGAGGACUGGAGAGCAGGAGAGGUCGGUGGAACGCCAGGUGUAGCGGUGAAAUGCGUAGAUAUAUGGAAGAACACCAGUGGCGAAGGCGGCCGCCUGGCCUGUUGCUGACGCUGAGGCACGAAAGCGUGGGGAGCAAAUAGGAUUAGAUACCCCAGUAGUC
RNAcentral lists this ribosomal RNA (465 nucleotides) under uncultured bacterium. RNAcentral's name for it is "partial 16S ribosomal RNA". It matches the Rfam family "Bacterial small subunit ribosomal RNA", at positions 338 to 795 of the family's 1533-position model. The record is from RNAcentral.